RNAcentral lists this ribosomal RNA (479 nucleotides) under uncultured bacterium. RNAcentral describes it as "partial 16S ribosomal RNA". It matches the Rfam family "Bacterial small subunit ribosomal RNA", at positions 28 to 507 of the family's 1533-position model. The record is from RNAcentral.
GAUGAACGCUAGCGGGAGGCCUAACACAUGCAAGCCGAGCGGUAUUUGUCCUUCGGGACAGAGAGAGCGGCGUACGGGUGCGGAACACGUGUGCAACCUGCCUUUAUCUGGGGGAUAGCCUUUCGAAAGGAAGAUUAAUACCCCAUAAUAUAUCGAAUGGCAUCAUUCGAUAUUGAAAACUCCGGUGGAUAGAGAUGGGCACGCGCAAGAUUAGAUAGUUGGUGAGGUAACGGCUCACCAAGUCAGUGAUCUUUAGGGGGCCUGAGAGGGUGAUCCCCCACACUGGUACUGAGACACGGACCAGACUCCUACGGGAGGCAGCAGUGAGGAAUAUUGGACAAUGGGUGAGAGCCUGAUCCAGCCAUCCCGCGUGAAGGACUAAGGCCCUAUGGGUGGUAAACUUCUUUUAUACUGGGAUAAACCUACUUACGUGUAAGUAGCUGAAGGUACAGUAUGAAUAAGCACCGGCUAACUCCGUG